Molecule: non-coding RNA, 25 nt
Filed under: Cricetulus griseus (Chinese hamster)
Lineage: Eukaryota; Metazoa; Chordata; Mammalia; Rodentia; Cricetidae
Source: RNAcentral
AUUGUCCUAAGAAGAUUUAAUCUUC